RNAcentral lists this ribosomal RNA (497 nucleotides) under uncultured bacterium. RNAcentral's name for it is "partial 16S ribosomal RNA". It matches the Rfam family "Bacterial small subunit ribosomal RNA", at positions 28 to 507 of the family's 1533-position model. The record is from RNAcentral.
GAUGAACGCUGGCGGCGUGCCUAAUACAUGCAAGUCGAGCGAACAGACGAGGAGCUUGCUCCUCUGCCGUUAGCGGAGGACGGGGGCGUAACAUGUGGAUAACCUACCUAUAAGACUGGGAUAACUGCGGGAAACCGGAGCUAAUACGGGAUAAUAUAUUAAAACGCAUGUUUCAAUAGUGAAAGACGGUUUUGCUGUCACUUGUAGAUGGAUCCGGGCGGCAUUAGCUAGUUGGUAAGGUAGCGGCUGACCAGGGCAACGAUGCGUAGCCGACUUAGAGGGGGAACGGGCCAAAUGGGAACGGAGACAGGCUCAAGACUCUAACGGGAGGCAGAAGUAGGGAUCCUCCGGAAAGGGGCGAAAGCUGGCCGGAGCAAGGCGGCGUGAGUGAUGAAGUUUUCCGGUUCGUAAAACUCUGUUAUUAGGGAAGAACAAAUGUGUAAGUAACUAUUCACGUCUUGACGGUACCUAAUCAGAAAGCCACGGCUAACUACGUG